AAAACCCGAUACUCCAUGGUGUUGCUGUUGCCACCCCUGGAACAGCCUGUGGAAAGAAGAGUCUUGGUCCAACCAGACAUCCAGAAUCCUGACCCUGCCAUAUACCAGCUGAGAAGCCCUAAAUCCAACGACCCUCCCAUCUGCCUAUUCACCGAUUUUGAUUCUACAAUCAAUGUGUCAAGUAUCACGAACUCCACAGAGUUCAGCUCGAAAAAUACGGUGCUGGACAUGAGAUACACGGGUUCCAAGAGCUACGGGGCCCUGUUCCGGAACAACGACGCUGAUUCAGAAUGCGAAGUCGCCUCUGACCAGGUGGUCUACUACCCCAACUUAGGAAUCCCCUGUGAUGCCAAGUUGGUAGAGAAAAGCUUUGAAACAGACAUGAACCUAAACCUCAAAAACGUGUUAGUGAUUGUGUUCCGCAUCCUCCUCCUGAAAAUGGCCGGGUUUAACCUGCUCAUGACGCUGCGGCUGUGGUCCAGCUGAGGUCGCCAAGAAUGUGAGCCCGGUGCUCCUACUCCUCACUGCCCUCCUCGCCCUCUUCAAGCAGAGAGGCACUCUCAGCCUCCAUGGAAAAAGUCCCCUCUGCCUCUCUGCAAUGCCACCAACUCCACCAACUCACAAUUAUCCUACCAGAUAAUUGUGACCAAGAUGCUGAAGAGCUGCCAAACAUUGCUGCCACCCCUUCUGUUCCCUCAUUGCUGCUUGUCACUGCCUGGUGUUCCCGGCAAAGGCAGGGGCUGUGGCUGCCUCUCCUGGCUGUGGAGACACCCCCUACCCCUCCCAGAGACUGCCUCUGAUGUCCCACUGGGCGAUGGGUCCCCAGGGCGUUUUCUCAGGCUCUGGCUCCUGGAGAAUCUUGUGAGGAGCUUAUAUUUUUAAAUAAUGUUCAUAAAGAGAUACAUAUUACCCUUUUCCCCAAAAUGUGGGGAAAUUAUCUCCUUAUCAGGCCCCGCUAUGCUGUGUAUCUGAGCCACAUUGUGUAUUCUGCUGCCAUGGCUUCAUUAAAAGUGAUUUAAAAGA
Hipposideros armiger (great roundleaf bat) is the source of this 1023-nucleotide non-coding RNA. NCBI's taxonomy places the organism in Eukaryota, Metazoa, Chordata, Mammalia, Chiroptera, Hipposideridae. The record is from the annotation of a RefSeq genome assembly.